Molecule: long non-coding RNA, 1312 nt
Organism: Pistacia vera
Lineage: Eukaryota; Viridiplantae; Streptophyta; Magnoliopsida; Sapindales; Anacardiaceae
Exons: 4
Source: RefSeq, a predicted model, not a curated record
ACUGGUCGAUGAAUUCGGUGGCUAGGCACAGCACACCGUCAUCGAUGAUAAGUCCAACGACACCGAUGGCACCAUUGAGAUCGGUAACCAGGGAUCUAUGCAACGGUGCCAACAUCGUAAACUGAAAACAAAGUCGUUUGGUCGUAGAAGAGAAAGGUUCAGCCAAAUUUUGUCGGCCGUUGUAGCCUUUGGCCCCUACAAGCAUGGAGAUUAACAAAACAGUCCCUACAAAUUAGGUUUGUCAUCUUCAUGUUGAAACCCAUGACUUAAGAUUCCAGGGUCGGAAGUGUCAUAGAGUAACAAUCCCAUUGUCCACCAUGUUCUGGUAGCUUGUCGGCGACCCAAAUCGGCGUUCUAGUGUCGUCAAAGUCGUGGGCCAUAGUGUGAAACUCACCAUUGGAGGUGCCGCCUUGCUACGUCGUUAAGGUAGAAGCUUGGGUGCUCUCACAAGGAACUCACAGGCGACGGGCAAGCUUGAGUAGCCGCCUUGGAAGGCCGCCAUGGAACGACAGUGUAAAACGGCUAGUUGGCAGUGCUAGGGUUUCAACAUGAAGAUGACGACCUAUUUUGUAGAGACUGUUUUAUCAAUUUUCAUACUUGUUGUGGCCAAAAUGAAAAGAAGAAAGCAAGAAAAUGGAGGGGGAGAAAGAGGAGUUCUUCAUUGCUUUCAUUGACUCACUCUACUUUGGUAAUGUUGUGUUAUUAUUUUCAUGGGGAUGGGGUGUCAUUUGUAAAAAAAUAUAAAUUUUAAGGACCAUGCCAACCACUUUACUUUGAGACUUUUCUUCAUGUUUCGCUUCUUCUUCUUCUUCUACUUGUACGCUGAAGAAAUACCGCAGUGCUAGAGCUUAAAGAGGUAGUCCAUUGUGUGGAGCAGUGAAGCAAUUGCUGUAGUAAUUGAGUGAUAAAAGAUGGGUUUUGAGCCAUUGGAAUGGUACUGUAGGCCAGUGCCAAAUGGGAUUUGGGCAAAAGCAGUGGAUGUGCAUACACAACUUGUGCAGUUGAUUCUCUAGUCAUUUCCAUUUCUCAUUUGGUUCUUUUUGGCCUUUGCAUUUAUCGAAUAUGGCUUCUUAGAAAAAGUUCCAAAGCCAAAAGGUUUCGUUUGAGUUCGAAUUACUACAAUUAUAUUUUAGGAUUGUUGGCAGGUUACUGUACAGCUGAGCCUCUACUAAGAUUGGUGAUGGGUAUUUCUAUCUUUAACUUGGAUGGAGAGACUAGUCUUGCUCCUUUUGAGAUGGUUUCUUUGAUGAUUGAGGCUCUUGCUUGGUGCUCUGUGGUUGUAAUGAUUGGUUUGGAAACUAAAAUAUACGUC